AAAUUGAAGAGUUUGAUCAUGGCUCAGAUUGAACGCUGGCGGCAGGCCUAACACAUGCAAGUCGAACGGUAACAGGAAGCAGCUUGCUGUUUUGCUGACGAGUGGCGGACGGGUGAGUAAUGUCUGGGAAACUGCCUGAUGGAGGGGGAUAACUACUGGAAACGGUAGCUAAUACCGCAUAACGUCGCAAGACCAAAGAGGGGGACCUU
RNAcentral lists this ribosomal RNA (209 nucleotides) under Escherichia coli. RNAcentral describes it as "partial 16S ribosomal RNA". It matches the Rfam family "Bacterial small subunit ribosomal RNA", at positions 1 to 216 of the family's 1533-position model. The record is from RNAcentral. RNAcentral also lists the same sequence under 1 other name. Lineage: Bacteria; Pseudomonadati; Pseudomonadota; Gammaproteobacteria; Enterobacterales; Enterobacteriaceae.